Long non-coding RNA from Scylla paramamosain (green mud crab), 9130 nucleotides. RefSeq lists it as uncharacterized. The record is from RefSeq and is a predicted model, not a curated record. NCBI's taxonomy places the organism in Eukaryota, Metazoa, Arthropoda, Malacostraca, Decapoda, Portunidae. The transcript is spliced from 5 exons.
UUUCACCAAACACACUCACGCAGAGACUGGUCCUUUAAACCUUCGUCCCUUUAAAUCUUACCCAAACAAACGCUUUCGGUUCGCGUAGGCAGACCAGGGUAGGCUAGCUCUCUCUGACCGCGCCAUGUGACUUAUUUUUUUAGGGUCAUGCUCCUAAUGAGAGAGUGACCCGCCGGCUAGGGGGACUGGGAGUAGGUUGGGAGCGUUAACUGGUUAAGUAACAGAGUAGAAAAUGAGAGAGACACUGGGAUGUGUGAUGGAUGAGUGAGAGGGAAUAGAAGGGUGUAAGCUGUUUGACGUAAGGGUGACAGGCUGAGGUGUGCGUCCGUGUGUACACGUAUGUGGUGUUGCCAUGGUGACGGUGGUGGUGGGCAUGACACAGAUGCGGGAGGUGGAGUUUGUGCCCAAUGGAGACAUGCACCUGGACAAAUUGUGUUGGUCAUUGGUCAGACUGGAGUUUACAUGUGUACCUCCUUCACCAUCAUUGGUGGACACUUCACCAUGAGUGAUGCUUGAGCUGUCACGGUGCUGCUGCUGCUGUCUGCCAUCAUGCCCCUGACACUGACCACCCUGCAGACACCUUCAUCCUGGGUGCCACACAUCACUGCUGCUACAACUCAGAGCAACUGGAGCGCAAGCCAGGAAGGGAGAUAGUUACUUUUCACUUAAUUUGUUGUUUAUUUGAGGGCCUAAUGACAGACACAUAAUGGAAUGAGUAUUUGUGAAUGUUUGUUUAUAUCUAGAUACAGCAUUCACAUAUCUUUUAAGUGCCACCUUCCAAAAACAAUGUCAGCCAGAAAAAUAACUGAUGAAUCUAAUUACAUUUCAAGUCAAAAAGUUUUCCUUUAACCACUUUGCUCCAGAUGCUUAAAAACAUGCGUUGCUCACAUACAUGGCGUCGCGUAGGCUCGUGAGUGGUAACUUAUCUAAUUUCUAAUAAUUUCUAAUAUAAUUUCUGUGUGUGUGUGUGUGUGUGUGUGUGUGUGUGUGUGUGUGUGUGUGUGUGUGUGUGUGUGUGUGUGUGUGUUUUAUGUAUGAGUGACACUGGCCAAGGGCAACAAAAAUCCAAUAAAAAAAUAUGCCCACUGAAAUGGCAGUCCCAUAAAAGGGUCAAAGCAGUGGUCAAAAGUUGAUGAAUAAGUGUCUUGAAACCUCCCUGUUGAAGGAAUUCAAGUCAUAGGAAGGUGGAAAUACAGAAGCAGGCAGGGAGUUCCAGAGAUUACCAGAGAAAGGGAUGAAUGAUUGAGAAUACUUGUUAACUCUUGCAUUAGAGAAGUGGACAGAAUAGGGGUGAGAGAAAUAAGAAAAUCUUGUGCAGCGAGGCCGUGGAAGGAGGGGAAGCAUGCAGUUAGCAAGAUCAGAAGAGCAGUUAGCAUGAAAAUAGCGGUAGAAGACAGCUAGAGAUGCAACAUUGCGGCGGUGAGAGAGAGGCUGAAGACAGUCAGUUAUGUGUGUGUGUGUGUGUGUGUGUGUGUGUGUGUGUGUGCGCUGAUGCAGCUGAGAAGGUUGCCUUAUGAUAAUUAUUGACAAAUGAAGGUAAUGGAUGCGCAUGUCAUUACUACUUUUUUAAGUGUGUGUGUAUGUGUGUGUGUUAUGUACACACACACACACACACACACACACACACACACACACACACACACACACACACACACACACACACACACACACACACACAAAGAGAAGUAACAGACACGCAUCCUUUACCUUCAUUCAUCAAUAAUUGUCAUAAGACGACCUUCCCAGCUGCAUCAUUACACACACACACACACACACACACACACACUUACACACCACGUAGUGUAGUGGUUAGCAUGCUCGGCUCACAACCAAGAAGGCCCAGGUUCGAAUCCCGGGCACGGUGAGGCAGAUGGACAAGCCUCUUAAUGUGUAGCCCUCUUAAUGUGUAGCCUCUUAAUGUGUAGGUACAGGAUGUAACCCGAGGUGAUGUGACUUCGCUGCCCUGGUGUGUGGUGUGUCAUUGGCCUCAGUCCUACCCAAAGAUCAGUCACCAUGAGCUCUGAGCUCUUACACACACACACACACACACACACACACACACACACACACACACACACACACACACACACACACAGAGAGAGAGAGAGAGAGAGAGAGAGCAAAAUGGCCAUGAAUGAAACAGGGAGGAGGGGGAACUGUGUGUGAAUGAAAACAUCAUCUACGUGAAACAUUUGAUUGAUUAUAAAGCACAUGUGCAUCAUAUAUAGUCAUGAAUGUGGAGGAACAGCAGAGUGAGUGAUCAACCACAGAAAGGAGAGAGUCGGACAUGCGGAGAGAAUGGAAGGGGAACAAUUUGAGAAGAUAAGCAUGCAAAUACAUAAAUAUAAGGUGGAAUAACAGUGUUUGGUGUGAAGAUGAAAGAGAGAUGCCUGUUUAUGAAGCAAAAUGGUUGUGCAAGAGAGGAAUGAUUGGAAAACCAUUCCCACCAAAGCCAACAGACCUUACACCAUAUUUUUACAAACCACAGCAUCUCUAUUCAUCCAUUCUGUGUGUCUUCUCUUCUCUCUCUCUCUCCACUCUUAAUGCUGCUGUGGGUCUCUGGGCUGGAGUACAUCAGAGAAAGAUUGACACCGACUUAUAUAUGAGAGGAUGUUGUCUGUAACUAUGCUAUGGGGACAUUGCAAGUUUGUGGGGUGUAGUGAAUGAAUAAGUGUGUCCUCUAUAGCAUACUUAAAAACCACACUCCCCAAAAAUAGAAUUGCAAAUGGUAGCCAGAAUUUACAUGAAUACUGGAGGGUGCUGUCAGGCCAAACCAGCUCCCCAUCUGUGCCUAUGCAGUGUCUGGCCAGCCACUAGUGUGUUUUGGGGGCUCAGACCAGCAGAUUCCCACUGUUUAUUCACUGUUUGUGUUGAUGCAGUGUCUGGCCAGCCACUUGUGUGUUUUGGGGGCUCAGACCAGCAGAUUCCCACUGUUUAUUCACUGUUUGUGUUGAUGCAGUGUCUGGCCAGCCACUUGUGUGUUUUGGGGGCUCAGACCAGGAGAUUCCCAGUGUUUAUUCAUUGUUUGUGUUGAUUUAGUGUUUGGCCAGCCACUUGUGUGUUUUGGGGGCUCAGACCAGCAGAUUCCCACUGUUUAUUCACUGUUUGUGUUGAUCUAGUGUUUGGCCAGCCACUUGUGUGUAUGUAGGGGACUCAGACCAGCAGAUUCCCACUGUUUAUCCACUGUUUGUGUUGAUCUAGUGUUUGGCCAGCCAGUUGUGUGUUUUGGGGGCUCAGACCAGCAGAUUCCAACUGUUUAUUCACUGUUUGUGUUGAUCUAGUGUUUGGCCAGCCACUUGUGUUUAUGUAGGGGAUUCAGACCAGCAGAUUCCCACUGUUUAUCCACUGUUUGUGUUGAUCUAGUGUUUGGCCAGCCAGUUGUGUGUUUUGGGGCUCAGACCAGCAGAUUCCCACUGUUUAUUCACUGUUUGUGUUGAUGCAGUGUCUGGCCAGCCACUUGUGUGUUUUGGGGGCUCAGACCAGCAGAUUCCCACUGUUUAUUCACUGUUUGUGUUGAUGCAGUGUCUGGCCAGCCACUUGUGUGUUUUGGGGGCUCAGACCAGCAGAUUCCCAGUGUUUAUUCACUGUUUGUGUUGAUUUAGUGUUUGGCCAGCCACUUGUGUGUUUUGGGGGCUCAGACCAGCAGAUUCCCACUGUUUAUUCACUGUUUGUGUUGAUCUAGUGUUUGGCCAGCCACUUGUGUGUAUGUAGGGGACUCAGACCAGCAGAUUCCCACUGUUUAUCCACUGUUUGUGUUGAUGCAGUGUUUGGCCAGCCACUUGUGUGUUUUGGGGGCUCAGACCAGCAGAUUCCUACUAUUUAUCCACUGUUUGUGUUGAUCUAGUGUUUGGCCAGCCAGUUGUGUGUUUUGGGGGCUCAGACCAGCAGAUUCCCACUGUUUAUUCACUGUUUGUGUUGAUCUAGUGUUUGGCCAGCCACUUGUGUGUUUUGGGGGUUCAGACCAGCAGAUUCUCACUGUUUAUUCACUGUUUGUGUUGAUCUAGUGUUUGGCCAGCCACUUGUGUGUAUGUAGGGGACUCAGACCAGCAGAUUCCCACUGUUUAUCCAUUGUUUGUGUUGAUGCAGUGUUUAGCCAGCCACUUGUGUGUAUGUAGGGGACUCAGACCAGCAGAUUCCCACUGUUUAUCCACUGUUUGUGUUGAUGCAGUGUUUGGCCAGCCACUUGUGUGUAUGUAGGGGACUCAGACCAGCAGAUUCCCACUGUUUAUUCACUGUUUGUGUUGAUGCAGUAUUUGGCCAGCCACUUGUGUGUAUGUAGCGGACUCAGACCAGCAGAUUCCCACUGUUUAUCCACUGUUUGUGUUGAUGCAGUGUUUGGCCAGCCACUUGUGUGUUUUGGGGGCUCAGACCAGCAGAUUCCUACUAUUUAUCCACUGUUUGUGUUGAUCUAGUGUUUGGCCAGCCACUUGUGUUUAUGUAGGGGACUCAGACCAGCAGAUUCCCACUGUUUAUCCACUGUUUGUGUUGAUCUAGUGUUUGGCCAGCCAUUUGUGUGUUUUGGGGGCUCAGACCAGCAGAUUCCCACUGUUUAUUCACUGUUUGUGUUGAUCUAGUGUUUGGCCAGCCACUAGUGUGUUUUGGGGGCUCAGACCAGCAGAUUCUCACUGUUUAUUCACUGUUUGUGUUGAUCUAGUGUUUGGCCAGCCACUUGUGUGUAUGUAGGGGACUCAGACCAGCAGAUUCCCACUGUUUAUUCACUGUUUGUGUUGAUCUAGUGUUUGGCCAGCCACUUGUGUGUAUGUAGGGGACUCAGACCAGCAGAUUCCCACUGUUUAUCCAUUGUUUGUGUUGAUGCAGUGUUUGGCCAGCCACUUGUGUGUAUGUAGGGGACUCAGACCAGCAGAUUCCCACUGUUUAUCCACUGUUUGUGUUGAUGCAGUGUUUGGCCAGCCACUUGUGUGUAUGUAGGGGACUCAGACCAGCAGAUUCCCACUGUUUAUCCACUGUUUGUGUUGAUCUAGUGUUUGGCCAGCCAGUUGUGUGUUUUGGGGGCUCAGACCAGCAGAUUCCCACUGUUUAUUCACUGUUUGUGUUGAUCUAGUGUUUGGCCAGCCACUUGUGUUUAUGUAGGGGAUUCAGACCAGCAGAUUCCCACUGUUUAUCCACUGUUUGUGUUGAUCUAGUGUUUGGCCAGCCAGUUGUGUGUUUUGGGGGCUCAGACCAGCAGAUUCCCACUGUUUAUUCACUGUUUGUGUUGAUGCAGUGUCUGGCCAGCCACUUGUGUGUUUUGGGGGCUCAGACCAGCAGAUUCCCACUGUUUAUUCACUGUUUGUGUUGAUGCAGUGUCUGGCCAGCCACUUGUGUGUUUUGGGGGCUCAGACCAGCAGAUUCCCAGUGUUUAUUCACUGUUUGUGUUGAUUUAGUGUUUGGCCAGCCACUUGUGUGUUUUGGGGGCUCAGACCAGCAGAUUCCCACUGUUUAUUCACUGUUUGUGUUGAUCUAGUGUUUGGCCAGCCACUUGUGUGUAUGUAGGGGACUCAGACCAGCAGAUUCCCACUGUUUAUCCACUGUUUGUGUUGAUGCAGUGUUUGGCCAGCCACUUGUGUGUUUUGGGGGCUCAGACCAGCAGAUUCCUACUAUUUAUCCACUGUUUGUGUUGAUCUAGUGUUUGGCCAGCCAGUUGUGUGUUUUGGGGGCUCAGACCAGCAGAUUCCCACUGUUUAUUCACUGUUUGUGUUGAUCUAGUGUUUGGCCAGCCACUUGUGUGUUUUGGGGGCUCAGACCAGCAGAUUCUCACUGUUUAUUCACUGUUUGUGUUGAUCUAGUGUUUGGCCAGCCACUUGUGUGUAUGUAGGGGACUCAGACCAGCAGAUUCCCACUGUUUAUCCAUUGUUUGUGUUGAUGCAGUGUUUAGCCAGCCACUUGUGUGUAUGUAGGGGACUCAGACCAGCAGAUUCCCACUGUUUAUCCACUGUUUGUGUUGAUGCAGUGUUUGGCCAGCCACUUGUGUGUAUGUAGGGGACUCAGACCAGCAGAUUCCCACUGUUUAUUCACUGUUUGUGUUGAUGCAGUAUUUGGCCAGCCACUUGUGUGUAUGUAGCGGACUCAGACCAGCAGAUUCCCACUGUUUAUCCACUGUUUGUGUUGAUGCAGUGUUUGGUCAGCCACUUGUGUGUUUUGGGGGCUCAGACCAGCAGAUUCCUACUAUUUAUCCACUGUUUGUGUUGAUCUAGUGUUUGGCCAGCCACUUGUGUUUAUGUAGGGGAUUCAGACCAGCAGAUUCCCACUGUUUAUCCACUGUUUGUGUUGAUCUAGUGUUUGGCCAGCCAGUUGUGUGUUUUGGGGGCUCAGACCAGCAGAUUCCCACUGUUUAUUCACUGUUUGUGUUGAUCUAGUGUUUGGCCAGCCACUUGUGUGUUUUGGGGGCUCAGACCAGCAGAUUCUCACUGUUUAUUCACUGUUUGUGUUGAUCUAGUGUUUGGCCAGCCACUUGUGUGUAUGUAGGGGACUCAGACCAGCAGAUUCCCACUGUUUAUCCAUUGUUUGUGUUGAUGCAGUGUUUAGCCAGCCACUUGUGUGUAUGUAGGGGACUCAGACCAGCAGAUUCCCACUGUUUAUCCACUGUUUGUGUUGAUGCAGUGUUUGGCCAGCCACUUGUGUGUAUGUAGGGGACUCAGACCAGCAGAUUCCCACUGUUUAUUCACUGUUUGUGUUGAUGCAGUAUUUGGCCAGCCACUUGUGUGUAUGUAGCGGACUCAGACCAGCAGAUUCCCACUGUUUAUCCACUGUUUGUGUUGAUGCAGUGUUUGGCCAGCCACUUGUGUGUUUUGGGGGCUCAGACCAGCAGAUUCCUACUAUUUAUCCACUGUUUGUGUUGAUCUAGUGUUUGGCCAGCCACUUGUGUUUAUGUAGGGGACUCAGACCAGCAGAUUCCCACUGUUUAUCCACUGUUUGUGUUGAUCUAGUGUUUGGCCAGCCAUUUGUGUGUUUUGGGGGCUCAGACCAGCAGAUUCCCACUGUUUAUUCACUGUUUGUGUUGAUCUAGUGUUUGGCCAGCCACUAGUGUGUUUUGGGGGCUCAGACCAGCAGAUUCUCACUGUUUAUUCACUGUUUGUGUUGAUCUAGUGUUUGGCCAGCCACUUGUGUGUAUGUAGGGGACUCAGACCAGCAGAUUCCCACUGUUUAUUCACUGUUUGUGUUGAUGCAGUAUUUGGCCAGCCACUUGUGUGUAUGUAGCGGACUCAGACCAGCAGAUUCCCACUGUUUAUCCACUGUUUGUGUUGAUGCAGUGUUUGGCCAGCCACUUGUGUGUUUUGGGGGCUCAGACCAGCAGAUUCCUACUAUUUAUCCACUGUUUGUGUUGAUCUAGUGUUUGGCCAGCCACUUGUGUUUAUGUAGGGGACUCAGACCAGCAGAUUCCCACUGUUUAUCCACUGUUUGUGUUGAUCUAGUGUUUGGCCAGCCACUUGUGUGUUUUGGGGGCUCAGACCAGCAGAUUCCCACUGUUUAUUCACUGUUUGUGUUGAUCUAGUGUUUGGCCAGCCACUAGUGUGUUUUGGGGGCUCAGACCAGCAGAUUCUCACUGUUUAUUCACUGUUUGUGUUGAUCUAGUGUUUGGCCAGCCACUUGUGUGUAUGUAGGGGACUCAGACCAGCAGAUUCCCACUGUUUAUUCACUGUUUGUGUUGAUCUAGUGUUUGGCCAGCCACUUGUGUGUAUGUAGGGGACUCAGACCAGCAGAUUCCCACUGUUUAUCCAUUGUUUGUGUUGAUGCAGUGUUUGGCCAGCCACUUGUGUGUAUGUAGGGGACUCAGACCAGCAGAUUCCCACUGUUUAUCCACUGUUUGUGUUGAUGCAGUGUUUGGCCAGCCACUUGUGUGUAUGUAGGGGACUCAGACCAGCAGAUUCCCACUGUUUAUUCACUGUUUGUGUUGAUGCAGUGUUUGGCCAGCCACUUGUGUGUAUGUAGGGGACUCAGACCAGCAGAUUCCCACUGUUUAUCCACUGUUUGUGUUGAUGCAGUGUUUGGCCAACCACUUGUGUGUUUUGGGGGCUCAGACCAGCAGAUUCCUACUAUUUAUCCACUGUUUGAGUUGAUCUAGUGUUUGGCCAGCCACUUGUGUUUAUGUAGGGGACUCAGACCAGCAGAUUCCCACUGUUUAUCCACUGUUUGUGUUGAUCUAGUGUUUGGCCAGCCACUUGUGUGUUUUGGGGGCUCAGACCAGCAGAUUCCCACUGUUUAUUCACUGUUUGUGUUGAUCUAGUGUUUGGCCAGCCACUAGUGUGUUUUGGGGGCUCAGACCAGCAGAUUCUCACUGUUUAUUCACUGUUUGUGUUGAUGCAGUGUUUGGCCAGCCACUUGUGUGUAUGUAGGGGACUCAGACCAGCAGAUUCCCACUGUUUAUCCAUUGUUUGUGUUGAUGCAGUGUUUGGCCAGCCACUUGUGUGUAUGUAGGGGACUGAGACAAGUUUAUUUAAUGUUCAGUGACCCAUUUGCAGGCACAGGGGUGUUGAGGAGCUGGGUGUGCAGGAGACAGACAAUUACAAAGGUUUACAGUUCAAAUGCUACAUGUAUCUUCAAAAUACAGAUAAUAAGUAGAUAAAUAUUGAAAUUAAUAUAAAAUACCAUUCUUUAUUUAACACUUAACCAAACUUAACCAACAUACACACACACGCUAACUCAGACAGUUCCCUAACUACCUUACCAUCCCGCAGGAGGCCAUGUCGGAGGUGCCGGUGGUGGGGUCGCCAGUUCCGGAGUACGAGGUGGAGGAGGAAAAGGAAGAGGAGGACGAGGAGGAGGCACGGAUAAGGAAGAAGAAAAGAUUAUUACCUGUAGCCCUCCCUCCAGCUGAUAAGGGGAUAUUAAGGAGCCCUUCCUACAGGUUUGUUCGAUGCAAGGAGUUGGCACAGGAGGCGUCCGAGGCUGUGUAGAGCGGCCGUCUGAACCUGGUGCCACAGCUUACUAUGUUCAACAGAAACUUGGACAGUGACAACAAGAACAUCUUCACAAAUACAAGCAGCAGAAAUGAGAGUUCUGAGAAUGAUCCGAGGUGUGACCAGACUUGAUAGAAUUAGAAAUGAAGAAACCAGAGAGAGAUUAGGGAUAACAUCUGUACUGAAGAUAAUUGAAAAGAACAAAUUGAGAUGGUAUGGACAUGUCCAAAGAA